CUACACAUGCAGUCGAGCGGCAGCAGGCCCUUCGGGGCGCUGGCGAGCGGCGGACGGGUGAGUAACACGUGGGAAUCUGCCCAUCGGUGGGGGACAGCCCGAGGAAACUCGGAUUAAUACCGCAUACGCCCUACGGGGCAAAGUGGACCUCUGAUUCAAGUUCAUGCCGAUGGAUGAGCCCGCGGCCGAUUAGCUAGUUGGUGGGGUAAAGGCCUACCAAGGCGACGAUCGGUAGCUGGUCUGAGAGGACGAUCAGCCACACCGGAACUGAGACACGGUCCGGACUCCUACGGGAGGCAGCAGUGGGGAAUAUUGGACAAUGGGCGAAAGCCUGAUCCAGCAAUGCCGCGUGGGUGAAGAAGGCUUGCGGGUUGUAAAGCCCUUUCAGCAGGGAGGAAAAGCGUUCGGUUAAUACCCGAAUGUAUUGACGUUACCUGCAGAAGAAGCACCGGCUAACUCCGUGCCAG
This 467-nucleotide ribosomal RNA is filed under the name uncultured bacterium. RNAcentral's name for it is "bacterial SSU rRNA". It matches the Rfam family "Bacterial small subunit ribosomal RNA", at positions 49 to 511 of the family's 1533-position model. The record is from RNAcentral.